GGGAUGCACGCUCCCUAGUAUUUUUUAAUGGAAUGGUUGAAUGGUUUCAAAUGUAACUUCCUAGUCAGUCUGGAUCACUGAAAGAGUUUCAUGGCUUUCAUGGUGUAAUUGACUGUGUUUUCUCUCCACCUCUUGAAAGAGGAGACAGUAUUGGCUCAAAUUAAAAUGCACAGUAAGAAAUCAGGAAUGAGAUCAAUGCAGUAUAUAACUACUGCUAUGUGAGAGUGUUUCCAUCGACUGCAACAGUCUUUACAUCAGAUCUAACAGAAGGACACCAAGGAUCAAAUUCAUCACAUCUAUUUUUAGAUGUUGUGAGUGCUACGUCUAAGGUAGUCGGCAAGACCAAAAUAAGAGCUCCUAGAAGGGUGUUAAUCUCAUUCCUUUAAAUAUCUAUUUUUGGAUGAGAUUAAUCACAAUUUAGGAGUGCCUUUUUCCCUCAGAAGACUAGAACAGGACUUCCUCAUGACUUUUUCAAGCUGCAGAAGUUCAGCAGAAGAAGAAUCCCACCCCUGUGCUGGAGGUAACGACUGCCAUGGUAAGGGGGGGACAGAUGACUGCAGGGAGAAGGAGAAUUAAGAUUCAAGUGUAAGAGCUUGGAUUCUUGGGACAACCUUAGAGCAGCUCCACUCCUUCCACGUUGUUAUACUACCAUCUACUGAUAAAAGGACGCUACUUCUCCAGGAUCUUCUGUCUUCAUCACCUUGGUGCAACAAGCAAGAUUUCAACUCAAUCAGAGCUCGAAAAUGAGCAUUAUCUGCCACUUCAAGCGUUAUCGCCUGAAUGUUCUUCUCUGCAAUAUGAAAGUAUCCACAGAGUAAUCAGCUGCACUCCAGAUCCUUUGUAGAAAAUAAGGUAUUGGGGGAUUUAUAUUUGUUAAUUCCUUUGUGUGUUUUUUGGUUUGUUGUUUUUUUGUUUGUUUUGGGUUUGUGGUUUUGUUUUGGUUUUGUUUGUUUGUGCUUUGGUGUUGUUCUUUCUUUUUCCCAAAGGAAAAAAUAAGCUAAGGGAUGGAAAACUAUCAUCAAAAGCCUUUUGACAACUUGAAGGAAGGAGGCUGGGUUGCUCUAUUGCUAAAGUAAGGCAACACUACAUUGCUGGUUUAAAGCAGCUUAAAAUGCACUACAGUUAAAAAACAAAGUAACAAAUUUAGUCCUAUAAAAUAUUAAUUGUUCCCCAUUAUUAACAGCAGGAAAGGCAAUAGCUUGGCUUUUUGCAGUGUUCCCACACCCCUCUAGGGGUUCUCAGUGCUUCCAGUGAGCUGUUCCCGCUCAGCAUCCAGGAAAAAACAAAAUAAAAAACAACCAAACAAAACAACACCAACACCACCACAAAAAACCCACAGUCAUCUGGGAUUACUGUUCUGUUUGACUAAGGAACAGAGAAUAGAGAGAAAAGCUGAGGACUCUUCGCAAGGUCUCUGGAUGAAACAAUUAUAAGUGCCAGUUAAUUUCAUAUCCUCUGCCCUUCUCAGAUAUACCCUAAACAGAAAGAGUGGCAGGCACCUUUUAUUUUAAUCAGUGCGCUACAGUGAUUUGGGGCUAAUUAGAUGUUAGUAAUUAAGAAGAGACUGCUGUGACGGGUGUUUUUACAGGUUGCAUUGUUGAUUCAAGAAGUAAGACUGUUCACCUUUAAGUAUUGUCAGUCACAUUACUUUAGCUGGGAAGAAUUAAAUGUCAAUUUUAUCUUGCUUCAUCACUGCUCUUUAAUCAAUGUCGAUGCAUCACUUCCCCCUAUCAUUCCUCCAUCAAACACUGACCUGGAAAUCUGACACUGAGCUUUCCAACACCACCUCAGCUAAUUAAGAACUUUGUUAUUCCACCUUCCGUCUUUUAAAGAAAAGCAAGAAAAGUGCCAAAGAGACUCUUGCUUUCAUGUGGAAAAGCAUCAGCAGGGGGUUAAUAAUAAUUAUUAAAAUGACUGACAGCUCAGGCUACGCUGUGAUUUGGCCCAGCUCUAUAUUCCCAUAGCCACAAAAAGGCAAAAGCUAAGAAAAGUCAGGCCUUAAAUAACUACAGUGAAAAAAUGGGAUUUUAGGAAAUAAAACAGCUUCCCACCAGCACACUACAGGAAGAAACCAAGAGUGUCUUGUAACCUGGAAAGGUGCUGAUAUUUAUCUUUGCGUCUAACCCUUUCAGUGUGGUAGCCAUACCUGCCUUAAAUCACUGGGUGUGCUAAAGAUCAGCAGAAGGAGCACUCAGAGCCUUUCCCAAGCACUCAGCCAUGGACAGCGUGGGUCACCACCGAGGAAUUAAAAGCAGGGCUGAGCUAUAUCCAGAUGGGUUUACUGGAUUUUCCUGCAUGUAAACACAAGCAGAGGAGGCUGUGUAAUGUUUGUACUGCCAGAAAUUGUGGAAAUCCUAAGCACAGAUUAAGAUCUCAGUAUUCUGGGGAUGUGCAAAAUGACAGCCCCAGUCCCAUAGAUCUCACAAUCCAAAUGUGAUAAAUAGAAACACAGUGUGGAGGCAAACAGCUUGUGGCGGUGCACGAAAAAAAUUGAGAAAAAAUAUAAGCAAAGAAGAAUUCUUGAUCGGUAUCAUGUCACUGCUCCUCUGUCUCCAACAGGCUUUUAAAAUAGUGGGAAAGCAGGACAGGAAGCAUAGUUUAAGUAUUACAAAAACCAGGUAUUUGUGAAGACAUUCACUACCUUUCCCUGAGUCCAUGGGGAACUCAUAAGGGCACAUACUGCAAAAGAAUUUGCUGGAAAACUUUGCUGGUAGAGAAUCAAUUAGUUGUGGCCUGUCAAAAGCGGGCACAGAUUUGUCAAUACUGAGUAAGAGUGAUAAGCAGGAUGGAUAUGGGCUGUGAAGGCUCUUCAAUAAAGAGACAGUCAGGACUAGCAAUGAGGGCUCGGGAGGCAGAGGCAGGUCAAAGCUUCUUGGACAUGGAAUCCAGCAGCAAGGUGAACCUGGGUAAGAAGUCUGUUUGUUUCUGCUGUGCUUCCGGAAGAGAAAUAUUAGGUGUAUUUUCUGAACAGAAGCAAGAAGAACAAUCAAUGCAUAGAUCUGGCUGAUAUCAGUGUUUUCUUAUUCAACUGCAAACAGUAUCAGGAGGUCCUAAUUUUGCUGGUCUGACUCCUCAGAGGUGGGGACACAAAAGAACAAGCACUUAGCACAAACCUGUGCUUAUAUUAUCUCACUCAAAAGACCUGUAGACCUAACAAUUCAAGCAGAUUCUGAAGGCUUUCACAGGAUUACUCAUGUAAGAAAGGCUUUUUGCAUAAGAAUGAAGAAUCAGAACUCCAAACAUAUUGUAAGGGCCCAAUUUCCAGUGAAAGAUAGAAAAAAGACACAAGUGUCACUCUUAAUCUCCUUUUUCAAGGCCAUCAUUUUCUUUGAGGUGUUUUGUGGGGUUUUUUUUAGGGAAAAAAAUGCUAUUGAGUAAACCAUGCUGCUUAGAAUGCUCAUCACCCAUCUCAAAGUCAUAGAAUGCCAGGCUGGAAGGGACCUCAAGGAUCAUCUGGUCCAACCUGUCUUGGCAGAAGUCCAGUCUAUAACAGCUGAGAUGUCCCAGCACCCUGUCCAGCUGAAUCUUUAAAGUGUCCAAUGUUGGGGAAUCAAACAAGAGAAGUCCUCUCAUAGCUCCAAAGCAGGUAUGUGCAGCAGCUCCAUCCUGACCCAGCCCUUGUCCCAAGUCAAGCAGGACUCCGGUCAAUUCCAGCUCUGGAGGCCCUCAGAUGCCAGAACCAAAUCCUAACCCCCAGCAGGGCAUGGUGAGUCCCCUCUCAGCUCUGUGUUAAACCCACCAAAUUAUAAUACAUCUGCAGGGCAGUUCAGAUUCCCCAAGUUUUGAACCUUUUAAUUUUUCUCAGUCCAUAAGUGGGACAUCUCAGGGAUAAAAUUCUGAAUGGAGGCACUGAGAGUGUACGUUCAAGUCUUGGCACUGCCACACACACCUUCCGAGACUGCUGAUAAACCGCUUAAUCUCAGGACUUCAGCCUCUCAUCAGGCCAAUGAAGGUUCCUUAAUGUACAGAUUUUGUGAAGAUCAAUUCUUUAGUAUCUGUGAAAAGCAACAUUAGAAUAUCUACAAAGGGACCUCAGUAAUACUGUUGCAUCUUCAGUACCACCUUAUGAAAUGCACUUUUCCUGAAGAACAGUGACCUUGAUUCUGCAAACUGUGUAAGCAUAUACUUCAAGCUUAGCUGAUUUUGAAAUGGCUCGUAGAAUCAGUGCUGAUACAUCCACCACAGAUAUAUCCAAACACACAGCUGACAAAAUAAAUAUCUUCUUAGUGUUCAUAUUAUCAUCCAGUGUUUUGGGGCCAUCUCAUAAAGGCGCUUACGUGCAACAAUGCCUAAGCAAAAUGGGUUGAUUUAAGAGGGCCGAGGGAACACUUAGCUGAGAAUUUCCUGGCUUCAGUUAGUUGCAGUCAGAGCGUUAAGAUUAUAUUUCAGUGUCAGUAUAUUGUUUUUAUUUGCUUUAUUAAAUUUGCUUUAACUUGCACUGACGUUUUCUUUCCCUUGUUACUCAAUCUCUCAGCUUUAAAGAUUUCAUUUGCUGAAUUGUUUUGCCAUUUGUAUCAAAAAUAAAUGUUAAUGCAAUAGGAACUCAACUUUUUUUUCACCAAGAAGUGAAAUCAAGUCCCAGGUGCUGCUGCUGCUUGACUUCCAGUCUCGGCCUGGGCAGACUAGUCAGGAUCUUUUGAUUCAAAUGCAGCAGCACCACCAAGACACAGAAUUUGUUCUUUCAGACCAUGCAGUUAUUGGAGUUGGGCACCACUGGCUGCCAAACUCCUGUUUAAAUUCACCACCCCUUCUAGUGUCAGCACUGCUGUUCCUGAUAGCACGUACAGACAAGAUCAUGUAGUGCCAUGUUUCCUAAAGAUAACUUCGAUUUCAGCAUAUGCAACAUUGCACUUGUCAGUAUUUUUGGGGGGCUAAGUGUGAUGGGAUUUGUUUACUGGAAGCUCACUCGGAAAAAAAUCAAUGCAUGUUUAAGUCAUA
Molecule: long non-coding RNA, 4938 nt
Organism: Columba livia (rock pigeon)
Lineage: Eukaryota; Metazoa; Chordata; Aves; Columbiformes; Columbidae
Exons: 2
Source: RefSeq, a predicted model, not a curated record